GAUGAACGCUGGGGCCAGCAUAAAAAAUGCAAGUUGAACGAGGAAACUUAGUAGUCUUCUUGGGAAAGACACUAAGCGGAUGAGUGGUGAACGGGUGAGUAACGCGUGAGUAAGCUGCCUGACACAAGGGGAUAGCCGUUGGAAACGAAGAAUAAUACGCGAUAAAACCAUAAAAGCAGAUGCUAGAAUGGUCAAAGUGAUAGGGGUGUAAGAUGGACUUGCGUCUGAUUAGCUAGUUGGUGAGAUAAAAGCUCACCAAGGCAAAGAUCAGUAGCCGGCUUGGAGGAGUGUACGGCACCCUUGGGACGGGGACACGGCCCAAACUCCUACGGAGGGCAGCAGGGGGGAACUUUGCACAAUGGGGGAAACCCUGAUGCAGCGAGGCCGCGUGAUUUAGAAGGCCUUAGGGUUGUAAAGCUCUUUUGUAUAGGAAGAUAAUGACGGUACUAUCAGAAUAAGCUCCGGCUAAUUACGUG
RNAcentral lists this ribosomal RNA (476 nucleotides) under uncultured bacterium. RNAcentral's name for it is "partial 16S ribosomal RNA". It matches the Rfam family "Bacterial small subunit ribosomal RNA", at positions 28 to 507 of the family's 1533-position model. The record is from RNAcentral.